AAAUUAUAGGAAGAUCUUGCAAAUAUCAAAGGGAAGCAAAGAGGUUUCAAGAAUAAUUAAAGCCAGUCAAACUUUUGACUGUUGAUUUUUGUGUAAUCAAGAGUUUAGAGAAGAAGUUGCAGGUACAAGUUCUUGAUGUGCAUGGAAAUCAUAAGCAUCCGGAUGGGAGUUUUCGUACACGAGUACUUUUUAUUUAAGUUAUCUUGAAUUUUAUAUUUGACUUUACUUGACCAAUGGGGUCAAGGUUUGACUUUUGAAGUGGGACUAGUAUGGGAUAGUCUCGGAGUUUGUAAUUCAUUUACAUACUUUCUUAUUUCCGUUGUAUUAAAGUAUUUUCAGUUUAUUUUAAAAGACUUCCGCUGUAUUAUCUGAUUAGCCUUA
This is a long non-coding RNA of Beta vulgaris subsp. vulgaris (sugar beet), 381 nucleotides long. RefSeq lists it as uncharacterized. The record is from RefSeq and is a predicted model, not a curated record. Lineage: Eukaryota; Viridiplantae; Streptophyta; Magnoliopsida; Caryophyllales; Amaranthaceae. The transcript is spliced from 3 exons.